This 390-nucleotide ribosomal RNA is filed under the name uncultured bacterium. Its description in RNAcentral is "bacterial SSU rRNA". It matches the Rfam family "Bacterial small subunit ribosomal RNA", at positions 32 to 415 of the family's 1533-position model. The record is from RNAcentral.
AAUCAACGCUGGCGGCGUGCCUCAGACAUGCAAGUCGAACGAUUAAACUUUCCUUCGGGAAAGAUAUAAAGUGGCGCACGGGUGAGUAACACGUAGGUAAUGUACCUUUGGGUGGGGAAUAACCAUCGGAAACGAUGGCUAAUACCGCAUAAUGCAGCGGCAUCGCAAGAUGACAGUUGUUAAAGAUUUAUCGCCUAAAGAGCAGCCUGCGGCAGAUUAGGUAGNGGUAAGGUAAUGGCUUACCAAGCCUGCGAUCUGUAACCGACCUGAGAGGGUGGUCGGUCACACUGACACUGAAUAACGGGUCAGACUCCUACGGGAGGCAGCAGUCGGGAAUUUUGGGCAAUGGGCGAAAGCCUGACCCAGCAACGCCGCGUGAAGGACGAAGUC